AACGAACGCUGGCGGCAUGCCUAACACAUGCAAGUCGAACGAUUGCCUUCGGGUGAUAGUGGCGCACGGGUGCGUAACGCGUGGGAAUCUGCCCUUAGGUUCGGAAUAACAGCUGGAAACGGCUGCUAAUACCGGAUGAUAUCGCGAGAUCAAAGAUUUAUCGCCUGAGGAUGAGCCCGCGUUGGAUUAGGUAGUUGGUGGGGUAAAGGCCUACCAAGCCGACGAUCCAUAGCUGGUCUGAGAGGAUGAUCAGCCACACUGGGACUGAGACACGGCCCAGACUCCUAGGGGAGGCAGCAGUGGGGAAUAUGGGAAAAGGGGCGCAAGCCUGAUCCAGCAAUGCCGGGUGAGUGAGGAAGGCCAUAGGGUUGUAAAGCUUUUUUACCCGGGAAGAUAAUGACUGUACCGGGAGAAUAAGCCCCGGCUAACUCCGU
This 434-nucleotide ribosomal RNA is filed under the name uncultured bacterium. RNAcentral's name for it is "partial 16S ribosomal RNA". It matches the Rfam family "Bacterial small subunit ribosomal RNA", at positions 29 to 506 of the family's 1533-position model. The record is from RNAcentral.